CCUUCAUGAAGCCGGAAUUGCUAGUAAUGGCAGGUCAGCAUACUGCCGUGAAUACGUUCCCGGGCCUUGUACACACCGCCCGUCACACCAUGGGAGUUUGUAACGCCCAAAGUCGGUGGCCUAACCUUUAUGGAGGGAGCCGCCUAAGGCGGGACAGAUGACUGGGGUGAAGUCGUAACAAGGUAAC
RNAcentral lists this ribosomal RNA (187 nucleotides) under uncultured bacterium. RNAcentral's name for it is "partial 16S ribosomal RNA". It matches the Rfam family "Bacterial small subunit ribosomal RNA", at positions 1315 to 1500 of the family's 1533-position model. The record is from RNAcentral.